This 360-nucleotide long non-coding RNA is filed under the name Calidris pygmaea (Spoon-billed sandpiper). RNAcentral's name for it is "lncRNA (ENSCPGG00000013681.1)". Lineage: Eukaryota; Metazoa; Chordata; Aves; Charadriiformes; Scolopacidae. The record is from RNAcentral.
UUCCCUUUGUAAUUAAACCUUUGUUUGGGGUUUCAGUGCAUUCCUUGCUGCACCAAAGUCACUACUUUUCCAUGACAUCUUCUCCUUUCUGUGUUGUUCAGGUAGUUAUGCUGCCCUGAUCACAGCAACACUGGAGUUCUUCAAGGAGUGCAUCAUCACAGGACUUAGAUUUAUCUUCUGUGGCUCUCACUUCUUCCAUGUCUCUGAAAUAUUAACAGAGGAGGAGGAUGUGAUUAGUGUUUUCUGCCAUGGGAUGUCAGCUGAGGGAUGAGAACCGUGUGCCAAGAGGAGGAAAGAGCUGUCACAGAUGGAUGGUGCAUCGAUGGCUUCUGUCAUGUUGCUGCUGGGUCGAGAUCUGUG